AUGGAAGUAACUUCACCCAAGGAACAAUUGCAUGCUGUAUUUCCAGACUGCAGGAACCACGAGGGGGGCCAAGGGGCAAAGGAGGGAGGAACGGGAGGUGCAUCCACAGCCCUGAAUAUUAUUGAAUCCGGUCAAGUGGCUGCUGAUGACAGCGAUCAACAGGCCACAUUGAAAGAAUUCCACAUGAUCGGCUGCUUUGGAGGAGGAGAAGGCCAAGUCGGCCAGUCCAACGGCGCCAUGCUGGACCCCGUGCCACGCCAUCCAAAUUCCUCUUGCAGAAAAGAAACGCACCGACCUGGCCGCCCACAUCCGACCCGUCAUCCUCCACGGCGCCUCAAGAAAUUAUAA
Molecule: ribosomal RNA, 348 nt
Filed under: Triticum aestivum (bread wheat)
Lineage: Eukaryota; Viridiplantae; Streptophyta; Magnoliopsida; Poales; Poaceae
Description: partial small subunit ribosomal RNA
Source: RNAcentral